RNAcentral lists this ribosomal RNA (484 nucleotides) under uncultured bacterium. RNAcentral describes it as "partial 16S ribosomal RNA". It matches the Rfam family "Bacterial small subunit ribosomal RNA", at positions 30 to 507 of the family's 1533-position model. The record is from RNAcentral.
AUUGAACGCUGGCGGAAUGCUUUACACAUGCAAGUCGAACGGCAGCACGGGGGCAACCCUGGUGGCGAGUGGCGAACGGGUGAGUAAUACAUCGGAACGUGCCCGGUCGUGGGGGAUAACGUAGCGAAAGUUACGCUAAUACCGCAUACGAUCUGAUGAUGAAAGCGGGGGACCUUCGGGCCUCGCGCGAUCGGAGCGGCCGAUGUCAGAUUAGGUAGUUGGUGGGGUAAAGGCCUACCAAGCCGACGAUCUGUAGCUGGUCUGAGAGGACGACCAGCCACACUGGGACUGAGACACGGCCCAGACUCCUACGGGAGGCAGCAGUGGGGAAUUUUGGACAAAGGGCGCAAGCCUGAUCCAGCCAUUCCGCGUGCAGGACGAAGGCCUUCGGGUUGUAAACUGCUUUUGUAUGGAACGAAAAGGCUCUGGCUAAUACCUGGGGCUCAUGACGGUACCGUAAGAAUAAGCACCGGCUAACUACGUG